This 836-nucleotide ribosomal RNA is filed under the name Brevundimonas vesicularis. Its description in RNAcentral is "bacterial SSU rRNA". It matches the Rfam family "Bacterial small subunit ribosomal RNA", at positions 60 to 943 of the family's 1533-position model. The record is from RNAcentral. Lineage: Bacteria; Pseudomonadati; Pseudomonadota; Alphaproteobacteria; Caulobacterales; Caulobacteraceae.
AGUCGAACGAACUCUUCGGAGUUAGUGGCGGACGGGUGAGUAACACGUGGGAACGUGCCUUUAGGUUCGGAAUAACUCAGGGAAACUUGUGCUAAUACCGAAUGUGCCCUUCGGGGGAAAGAUUUAUCGCCUUUAGAGCGGCCCGCGUCUGAUUAGCUAGUUGGUGAGGUAAAGGCUCACCAAGGCGACGAUCAGUAGCUGGUCUGAGAGGAUGAUCAGCCACAUUGGGACUGAGACACGGCCCAAACUCCUACGGGAGGCAGCAGUGGGGAAUCUUGCGCAAUGGGCGAAAGCCUGACGCAGCCAUGCCGCGUGAAUGAUGAAGGUCUUAGGAUUGUAAAAUUCUUUCACCGGGGACGAUAAUGACGGUACCCGGAGAAGAAGCCCCGGCUAACUUCGUGCCAGCAGCCGCGGUAAUACGAAGGGGGCUAGCGUUGCUCGGAAUUACUGGGCGUAAAGGGAGCGUAGGCGGACAUUUAAGUCAGGGGUGAAAUCCCGGGGCUCAACCUCGGAAUUGCCUUUGAUACUGGGUGUCUUGAGUAUGAGAGAGGUGUGUGGAACUCCGAGUGUAGAGGUGAAAUUCGUAGAUAUUCGGAAGAACACCAGUGGCGAAGGCGACACACUGGCUCAUUACUGACGCUGAGGCUCGAAAGCGUGGGGAGCAAACAGGAUUAGAUACCCUGGUAGUCCACGCCGUAAACGAUGAUUGCUAGUUGUCGGGAUGCAUGCAUUUCGGUGACGCAGCUAACGCAUUAAGCAAUCCGCCUGGGGAGUACGGUCGCAAGAUUAAAACUCAAAGGAAUUGACAGGGGCCCGCACAAGCGGUGGAGCAUGUG